Molecule: ribosomal RNA, 253 nt
Filed under: uncultured bacterium
Lineage: Bacteria
Description: partial 16S ribosomal RNA
Rfam family: Bacterial small subunit ribosomal RNA
Source: RNAcentral
UACGUAGAGGGCAAGCGUUGUCCGGAUUUAUUGGGCGUAAAGAGCGUGUAGGCGGCCAGAAAAGUCCGCUGUGAAAACUCGAGGCUCAACUUCGAGCUGUCGGUGGAAACUUUCUGGCUAGAGUCCGGAAGAGGAGAAUGGAAUUCCUGGUGUAGCGGUGAAAUGCGCAGAUAUCAGGAAGAACACCCGUGGCGAAGGCGGUUCUCUGGGACGGUACUGACGCUGAGACGCGAAAGCGUGGGGAGCGAACAGG